UCGGGCGGGAGCUUGUGUUACAGGCUGAGAUAAGGGUAAUGACCCUUGACCGUGAACCUGAUUUGGGUAAUGCCAACGUAGGGACAAACAUAUA
This 94-nucleotide non-coding RNA is filed under the name uncultured Ruminiclostridium sp. RNAcentral's name for it is "TPP riboswitch (THI element)". The stretch from base 4 to 85 matches the Rfam family "TPP riboswitch aptamer (THI element)", at positions 10 to 89 of the family's 105-position model. Rfam says of the family: Vitamin B(1) in its active form thiamin pyrophosphate (TPP) is an essential coenzyme that is synthesised by coupling of pyrimidine and thiazole moieties in bacteria. Lineage: Bacteria; Bacillati; Bacillota; Clostridia; Eubacteriales; Oscillospiraceae. The record is from RNAcentral.